CUGGAUCCUGUUUGAACGCACCUUCUUUGAGAAGUUGCCGUCUUCUGAGUUGUCUUUUUCCUGUAUUUAUCUUUGCCUAAUGCAGCCUGAAUGACAAGUAUGAAGAGUGUCACCCUCAAUGACACCUUGGAAUCCUCAAACUGUUUUUCGUGGAGCCCGUCAGCAGGUGGAUGAUGGCCGAUCUGUAAGAAGAGAACCAAAAUGUCUGGACCUCUCAUCACACUCAGUACUGGUUACACUAACUGCGGGACCCAGAGCAAGAUGAAAACGUGAGGCCCCCGUCCACAGUCGUGAACGAUUUCAAGACAGUAAUCGAAGAGCAUGAUCCAUGCAUGAGGCCUCCCAGAUUGUGGCCCCUUGAGCAUGGACCCCCUGAGCCCAGCCUCUUUGUUCUGCAGAAGAACUUCAACUCUAAGUAGACAGUGAAAAGUUAAACUUCUAAAUUGAUUUAUUAACUCCAGCGACUACAUAGUCACACAGCUGUACAGAGUGACAUAGACCAGACCCAACAGAGAGGUUAACAUGGAAGAGUAAAAAAUAUUCUAAGAAUUCUAAGAAAGACAGAAAGGGAGAAAGAAAACAAUGAAAAAUAUAGGGGACAAACAAAACAAUAAAAUAGUAAACUUGUAUCCA
This 633-nucleotide long non-coding RNA is filed under the name Felis catus (domestic cat). RNAcentral describes it as "lncRNA (ENSFCAG00000045773.2)". The record is from RNAcentral. Lineage: Eukaryota; Metazoa; Chordata; Mammalia; Carnivora; Felidae.